AAAACACCAGUUCUUGUCUGAUCACUGAAGUUAAGCAACAGUGAACCUGGUCAGUACCUAGAUGAGUGACUGCUUGGGAAUACUAUGUGCU
Non-coding RNA from Acanthosepion pharaonis, 91 nucleotides. The record is from the annotation of a GenBank genome assembly. Lineage: Eukaryota; Metazoa; Mollusca; Cephalopoda; Sepiida; Sepiidae.